This is a long non-coding RNA of Triticum dicoccoides, 357 nucleotides long. RefSeq lists it as uncharacterized. Lineage: Eukaryota; Viridiplantae; Streptophyta; Magnoliopsida; Poales; Poaceae. The record is from RefSeq and is a predicted model, not a curated record. The transcript has 3 exons.
CUCUUCCGAUCUGAAAAAUUAAGCAACAAUCACUGCUUAGUUCCGUUGAGAUGCAGUACAGUAUGUGCACCGGCAUCCGCCAGCAUCACAAUCGCCAACCGCACCGGGGCCAACGUUGAUUUGACAGUUGCGGAGACAAGCCUUGGGGUUACAUGGCCCAGGGAUGACUGGGGUCUGCCGGCAGUCUUCAGGGAUUAGCGAGCCGCCACAUACCUGAGGAUAGCAGUGCAACAAGGGCAAGCGAAAGUAGUAGCAUCUUGUAGAACGACCUCAUCCUGUCUUGAUGGUGGCAACCUGAGAGAGAGAGAGAGAUUGAGAUUGAGAAAGCGUGUUUACUGGGAGGUUAAGCCAAUCUUU